GCCUGGCCGGCUCAGUCAAUAGAGCAUGUGACUCUUGAUCUCAGGGUCGUGAGUUCAAGCCUCAUGUUGGGCA
Felis catus (domestic cat) is the source of this 73-nucleotide transfer RNA. It matches the Rfam family "tRNA". From Rfam's summary of the family: Transfer RNA (tRNA) molecules are approximately 80 nucleotides in length. The record is from Rfam. Lineage: Eukaryota; Metazoa; Chordata; Mammalia; Carnivora; Felidae.